AAGAGACGGAGGAAGAAAAGGGGAUUGGGAAUGGAGGUACCUCAGCGGAGUGGGCGUAACGCCAGAGGGCAAGCUUCCAUCCGGUGCCCGAGACCGGCACGUAGUGGAGCUCGUCGGCCGCGCAGACGGCGGGCUUCUUGUCAUCCUUCACGGCCGAGGCGGCCUCCAGCGAAGCGGAGAGCAGCCUGGGGGGAGGAACGGACUGGGCCGAUACGCGGCUCGCCCGCCUCUCGUCCCGCCGCUGCCCCGGGGGGGAUCGGUGUGUGGUAGGAGGCUGUGGCCGCCGCCGCCGCCGCCAGAGUAGAGCGGACGUCGGCGGGUCGGAGGAGGCGCAUCAUCGCCUCUGAUGGCCUUCGCCUCCGGCUUCUAUUUCUUGUUUACUUUCUUUUUCUUUCUUUAUCUGCUUUUCUUGGGAAAAUACGGCUGUUCUUCCCCACGGUUUUAUCUUCGCCAUCCCUUUCCCUCCGAAUGGAAGUGCUUCUCGGCGAUAGCAGGGCUUUUGUAAAAAA
Molecule: long non-coding RNA, 509 nt
Filed under: Phoenix dactylifera (date palm)
Lineage: Eukaryota; Viridiplantae; Streptophyta; Magnoliopsida; Arecales; Arecaceae
Description: long non-coding RNA (PDAC_LNC020138)
Source: RNAcentral